AGUGAACGCUGGCGGUAGGCCUAACACAUGCAAGUCGAAUGGCAGCACAGUAAGAGCUUGCUCUUACGGGUGGCGAGUGGCGGACGGGUGAGGAAUACAUCGGAAUCUACUUUUUCGUGGGGGAUAACGUAGGGAAACUUACGCUAAUACCGCAUACGCCCUACGGGUGAAAGCAGGGGAUCUUCGGACCUUGCGCGAUUGAAUGCGCCGAUGUCGGAUUAGCUAGUUGGCGGGGUAAAGGCCCACCAAGGCGACGAUCCGUAGCUGGUCUGAGAGGAGGAUCAGCCGCACUGGAACUGAGACACGGUCCAGACUCCUACGGGAGGCAGCAGUGGGGAAUAUUGGACAAUGGGCGCAAGCCUGAUCCAGCCAUACCGCGUGGGUGAAGAAGGCCUUCGGGUUGUAAAGCCCUUUUGUUGGGAAAGAAAAGCAGCAGGUUAAUACCCCGCUGUUCUGACGGUACCCAAAGAAUAAGCACCGGCUAACUUCGUG
This 492-nucleotide ribosomal RNA is filed under the name uncultured bacterium. Its description in RNAcentral is "partial 16S ribosomal RNA". It matches the Rfam family "Bacterial small subunit ribosomal RNA", at positions 29 to 507 of the family's 1533-position model. The record is from RNAcentral.